CCAACUGUUUCUCUGCCAGAAAGAUCCCUUGUGCAUAUAAAUGUUUUCCAUCUCUGGAACGCGCAAUAGGUGUCUACAAAGAUGGUGACAAUCACUUACCUGAAUCGCUUGUGGGAAAUUUGUACUAGUUUCUGUGCAAUUUUGCAAUUCUCAUCCCUCUAUGUAUUGGAGAUGGGAAAAGCAAGGCCCAAUAUAGAUCUGAGGUGAAGUAUUGUAUGUAGUAGUAGAUUCCAAUAUACAUUUUUUUUUUCCUAAUCUGAAGGGUGGGGGUGGAGGUUGUCACUGUUGAUAUUGGCCAGUGUAGAGUAUUUUGGAAUUAAUCCUAUGGCAAGGAGUCCUUAAUUUUAUCUAAUGUUUUUUGGUUGCUCUUUUUUUCAUGUUAAAAGUGGUUUUGCCUCAUUUUAUUCUCCAUUUUUUUCUUGACGAGUCGAUAUAAGCAGUGGAAAAGAUAAAAUGUCACUCCGAAGUUCACUUUGCCUUCUUCCAUCAUAGUUAAAGGCAGGCCUGCCUUGCAACCUGGAAGUCUAGUUUUCUUCUUGACUCUGCAUUGGGCUGAGGUGUCCUUGCUUUCUUUCAUCAAAAAGUGUAAGAAGGUCCAAUCCAAGAUUGAAGGUAAUGUUUUAAUCCCUUCUAAAUAAUUGAAGGAUGCAAUCUAGUAAAAGGAUGUUGGUAUCUAUCUGAUUGGCAUCUGUAUACUUGCAUGAUCAUCUUUGCUUGCCUUUGAUGCAAGUAUACGAAGGCAAGAGAUGAUCAUGCAUAGCUGCAUUUGGCUAGUUUCCUAUUAUGUGAGCUAUGAAAUUUCUCAAUAGUGGGAUUCCCUUUCAAUUUCGAACGUUUGCAUUUUGACAAAGGCUGAUUCAAGUGUCACUCACCCUUUGAACCCUGAAAUUUAGCAGUAUUUGAGGGUCGCUGCUGAUGAAUGGCAGCCUAAGUUGGCGCUCUGCAUGCAUGGGGGCUGCCAGUGGUAAUCCACUGGAAGCUGAGUUUUUGUUACAGCCACUACAGGCUCUAAGCUAAGAGUUUGGCAAAAAACUCUACAAGCUUGUUCUUGCCAUUUUCUUACCUGCAUUAGGGACCUCAUAUCUGUUGCUGUUUCUAGUUACGAGGCAAAAUCUAGUAUUUGUGUUUUUUGACUGACCUGAUGGGUCUGGAUUGACUAUCUUCCUGGCUUCCCUUUGCAGGAUUCUUCCUGCGAGUCAAGUAGGUUGUUUGUUGGUUGGACAAGCGAAUAAGUAAUCCGAGCUUCUAGUAUGUUGUACUCCAUUAAUUCUUCUGUUCAGGUCUACUGCAAGCAUGAUCGACGGGACGAGGCAAACUGAGGCAACAUGACUUCCAGCUUGCUGAUGGAGGCAACAUGACGUUAAAAAAAAAAAAAGCAAUCUAGGAUAUACAUGGUAAUUGAAUGAUUUCUGUUAUUAGUUUAGCAAAUGGAGAAGCCACGUUGUUAACCUCAAUUAGAGUUGAAAUUUCACUUUUAGAAACACCUAGAAGAAAUUAGUGGGCUUCAAAUAAUUUUUUUUUUUUUUAAUUUUUCUGCUAAUCCAAGAAUUACGGAGUCAAAGAGUUACGUUAGAAAGAAAAUGCGAUGAUAUUGUUAUGGCUGGAUAUUUUCUGACCUUCCCAAAAUAUCCUCCUCCCAAGUCCUACCCCAGUAAAAUACGAAAAGAUAAUUGUGUAUUUUCACCUUGUUAUUGGUGGGGUGAGAACGACAGAAAUUGGAAGAAUAUAAAAGUUGACCGACCACCUCAAAACUUUGACAUGUUCGACUACGCUGGUAGCAGACUUUCACUCGAGAGACAGCAAGCGUGCAAGAACAGGCCGCUAACGCUCUACCCUGGGAGUCUCUCAUAAUUGAUAAUCCUCGUGGUUUUUAAGUGGUCAAAAUGAGAAAGUCGGAAGUGGCGCGCGCGGCAUAACUGCUUCAUUCCAUCUGCUAUCAUUUGUAUAUUUAAAAUCAAUUUUUAAUAUUAAAUAAAAAGGAAUGUAUUAGUUUAUAAUAUGUUCAUAAUGUAGAUAAAUUAUUAAAUUUGGAAAAGGGCGUAUGUUCUUAUGGGUUUCCUUUCUUUUUUUUUUUGGAAAAAUGAGUUUAUUCUUGUAGAUUUUUUUUUUAUUUUUGGGAUACAGAAUUAUUUUUCAAAUAUUUUGGUUCGUAGUCCUACUAUAUUUAAACCAUUUUUUAAUAUCCAAUUCAAUAUUGUCUUUUAAUUUUGCAGUCUCUAUAAUUUUUAAUUUAUUCUUUUGGUUUAAUUUCAGUUAGAAUUCAAAAUUUUUCAAAUACCAAGAGAAACCAGAUUUUUUUAAAAAUCACUGUCUUGAGUCAGAUAGAGCGCCGAAAUAUGAGUCAGGAUUAUUUCCUUUAUGCAGUUAAUUUCCUAAUAUCUGGUAUGAUAUAUAAUUAUGUCCGUUGGAUUUUUUUUUUUCAUAUAGAUAUCGUUAGGUUUUUGGCAUCACUACUGAACAUUAUCCAAACUUAGAAGGACGCGUUUUUUCUAAUUCAGUGGAUGCAAAAAUACAAAAAUACCAAAAAUAAAGGUAAUAUUGUGACUCAAACUCUAAAAAAUAGGAUACCAUCAUUAAAGAAGUUUCAUGCCUUCUUUAGCAUCUUAAAAAGAUGCAACACAGAACAGUUAUUUGAAUGCUAAUAAACUCUCUUUCUACCAACUUUGAAAGCCCACCCAUUAAAAGUGAAGUGAAAAUUAUUGCAGUCAAUGCAGAGAGAAAAUGAUAAAGAAAAGAAAGGCUAGAUGCAAUUUUGCCAAAAGGAUUUCUGACGAAAUUAAAAAUUAAUCCAAUUUUAAUAAUGGGCGUAUAGUGCCUUAGUUAUUAGUAGUAUCUGAAUUAUUUUUCUCUAAUUAUAAACCAUUUUUUAUUAUUUUUAUUUUAUGCACGAUCAUUUUUUGAAUAAAAUUAUGAAAAUAACUAUCGUAAUACCUUUUUUAUGUGAUAAAUGUGCAAUAAAAAUAAUUAAAAAAUUUCAGUAAUACAAACAAAUAAAUUUUUAUAAUAUACAAUUUAUGUUAGAAAUAGUAAAACCCUCAAUCAUGAACCUAUACCAUCCGCAAUUAUAUAAGCAAGCAAUACCUUAUGUUAGAAAUGUGAUUGCGAUUUUGUGUUUAUACUUUAUCCCACUACUGAUUAUCUUUGCUUUACAAUGUAACAAUAAGCAAACAACUGUUAGGAUUUUGUAAAAAAUUUUCACAAAUAAUGGAUGAUCAGAAAAUCAAUGCCAUAUCAUUCAUGACAAAAAGCAAAGCAAAAGCAAAAUAUACUUAAAGGCCAGAGGGGACUGACCUGGAAAAUUAAGUUGGUAAGAAUAUACUUCCAAUUCUCCGCAAGAAGGUUGAGUUCUGCUAAAAUCUCUGCAUAUAAUAUCUUCCACUACUACUCAUAAAAGAAACAAAAUCAAUACAUUUACAAAAUGAAUAGAGAACCAAAAACAAAUAAGAAACUGAGAGAGAGUGGGAGUGAGAUAGUGGGAUAGUAGGAAAAGAGAAUUUGUAGGAGUGGUUGUAGAAUGAGUUAAGAUAGUGGGAUAGUGGGAGUGAGAUAGUGGGAAUAUUGAUGGGUGAUAAGGUGGGUUAUAACCCACUACAUUUUAUGUAUUAAAAUAAAUACAAAAAUCUAGAAAAAAGAAUGAGAAGUUUAGAAGUCAUUGAGAGGGUUUCUGCUAAAAACCCCCUUCCUGAAUACAUAUAGAUAUAGAUAUGCUCAGUACCGUCACUUUUAAGCGUUACUCCUACACAGCUACAAACUACUAAAAACUUUCUUCCACCAUUUUCUUCAUUUCAAUGAAAAAAAAAAAAUCUCUUGUUAUAAGAUUCUCAUGAUUUUAUUCUUGAAUACAAUACUCUCUGGUUGAUUCUAGAUUUCCAUCACUAAUAUUAAGGUAGUCCUUCUUCUUCUUUUUUUUUUUUAUUUUUAUUGUUCCCAUUUUUCCUUCUUCAAAUAUAUUAUGUCAAAUUGAGUGGUUGAUUUGUGUUCUACAUGCAUGUAUGGAGUAGAAAAACACGAAUUUGGUUGAAAUAGAACGUUAUUUAGAUUUUAGAAGAUAGUAAUAAAGUUGAUUAAUAUGCUUGUCUGCUGCUUAAUUUCUUGGUCAAGUAUUAUCUUUUACCUUCACUAUCCCCCACGAAUGCUUCUGGUUCUUAGUUGUCAGUUGUUACUUGCCCAAAAUGUGUAAAUCCCGUUAACACGGUUCCUGACAAAAGGCUAACGAGGACGGAAGCCUCUAUUCAGCGAUGAGAACGUGGAGGAGAGCACGGGGGACUGUCGGCCAGAUAUUCACUUCCGAGGGGUGCUGAAGCCUAGGCAGCGUUUGUGGGCCCGUUGGCGGGCUAAAUAAUCCGACCACUAACCGGGACGCCUAAGUCGUACAAAAUAAUUUAUUGACGAUACUUUAUGCGAGAAAAUGGUUCGUACAAAAGUAACUUUUUUUAAAAAAAAAAGUUAAUGGUAUUGGCUGAUUUUUUUUUUCCAACAAACGUUAAAUGAAAGAAAUCUAAACAUGAUCCUCGAUCCAAUCUAAAAGGCAAUUGCUGACUUUUGGGCUCGAUCAAGGGACUUAAAUCUCACUCACUCAAUCCUUACUGGACCGAUGUGGAAGGAAGAGGAAAGAAAAACACUCGCACUCUUGGUUUUACCCUCAUCAUUGGCUAUUACCCCUCUCCAUGACUCUUGUUUCUUUCCGACAAACAUUAAAUAAAAGAAAUCUAAACAUGAUCCUCAAUCCAAUCCAAAGGCAAUUGUUGAUUUCUAGGUUCGACCAAGGGACUUAAUGGUACUGGCUGAUGAAUUCCUUUUUUAAAAUACAAAAAUUUUUUUUUAUAACCUCACGAGCGCAAAUACUUGAAAUUACUUAUCUAACCAGUGGGCUAUUUUUCAUUGUCGUACUUGUUUGUUAGCCAAUGCCAAAUUUUGUUGUUUGGUAGUAGAAAUGGCCAGUAUUAAUGUUUUAGUUAAUGAAAAUCUUUUAAAAUAGCGUUAAUGUUUUACGGGUGCAAACAAUUAACUUACAAAGUCAACCAAUGAAAAAAAAAAAAUAUUUUAGCUGCGAUUUUUAAUUUCGAACAAUGUUCAGUUUUACUACUAUUUGGAAGUACAAAAUAGCUUCCUUUUAAUUUUAAUGCGACGGAAGUGGUUAAAAACCUAUUGCAAUAGCAAAAGAUUGGCUAAAUUACAAUAAUUUAUAAUAAACAUUGAUAAUUUGACAAUUGAAGAAUCACUCUUUUACCGUUCAUAUUCCACAAUGAUACAAUCGUACAAAGCUAUAGUAACAAAAUACGGCAUGGUGUUCAGCCAAAGAUUGACUUAUAAACUUAACAAUCUAUUUUGAAAACUAAAUAAAUUUUUUGCCACAAUUAUUUUUACAAACUCAUUGUAAAUUUAAUUAUAUUAUGUUUUGUGGGAAACAUAUGAUUUGUUAUUUUUAAUCUAAAUGUAUCAUGGAAUAGGACAAGAUUUCUACAAUCAAAUAUUAGUGUCUUUUUUGUAUCUUAUUGAAAAAUUUGUAUCCUCUUAAAAAAAUUUGCUGGAGUCGAGAGAGAGAGAGAGAAAUCUGGGUACAAAGCAUAAACACUUCUCAUCUUCUUUUUUUUUUUUUAAUAAAAAAAACGGCAUAUCUAACUUAAUAUAGUUUACUCAUACUCCUACUAGGGGAGUCUACUCAAAGAGAUGACCUUACUAAGUCGAGAUAAUCUGAUGGAGAUUGAACCUCACCUUAUUUUGAUAUGGUUUAAUCUUCUAAAUAUUCGGCAAUCAAGCAUAAGUUCCAAUUAUGAUAAAGACUAUCAAAUUCUGAUUAGUUAGUUAAGACAUAAAUUGCCAAAAUAGUCAAUCUCAUGUGUUGAUUGCCAUUUUAUACAUGUGUCUAUCAUCUAAAGAUGUAUGUAUUGAGGGAAAUUGGAAGAAUGGAGCAAUGGAGAGAAGCCAAAUCCGGGUACAUACUCAUGAAGGUCCAUGUGGGAUAAUUAUUCAUGCGCAUCAAAUUGUUGCAACACCGACAUACGAUGCUACAAACUUUUUUCCCAUCCAUUUUCCCCCCUCAAGACGAAAAUUGUGUGAGCUUAUGACCGAUAAAGGGUAGCGGGGGUUUGUCGCUACGAUCUUUGUUUAAGCUCUGCAUUCUCACUCUUCAGCACACGCUAAACCAAUGGCCUCCUCGCCACAAUGCAUGAUACUUUUACAGUUAACUACUCUACGACAUGUGCGUAUUAAUCCCAAGUUUCCAAAUCCAGCGUUAUUUCUCUUCAUCUAGCUAGUCUCCUAUUUUUGCACAGGCUUUAUUACAGUAUAAUACUUUGUCCUUCUAAACUCUAAAUAUAUAUAUAUAUAUAUAUAUAUAUAUAUAUAUAUUGCCCCUUCAUUAAUUAGUCAAAUGUCAACGAUGAAUUCUCCAUCCAAAAUGCACUAAUUAAUUUUAUUUCAUUUAAUAAGUACUACUAUCAGCAUUGAAAUAAAUACAUUGAGUUGUCUAGACUUUUAUUUUUGUUAAUUAUCUAAUUCAUUUUUGUAAUAAAAAUUCGAAAUGUAUAGAGUAAUUGUGUUUAGAUGAAUUUAACAACUAUUAAAGAAAUAAGUAUUUGUUAUGUUACAAUUAUUAUGUGUGUGUUUACGAAUUAGUCAAGAAUAUCUUGAUCAUGAAAAAUAUAACUUCACUUUAACCCUGACAAAAAGCUGAUCACAAGGUUUAAAAUGUACAUAUUUGGAGUUUAGAGUCGCGAAGUAUUACAAAGGCUCAAGUUGAAGGGAACAAAGUGUAAUCAACGGGUUUACAUAUUAUGAAUAACCCCAACAAUGAUGACUUCAGCUUUUGUUGAGUGCACAUGACGGCCUCUAACAAAUAACCUUCACACUCAUUUAUGCGUGGGCCACGAUCACCAAAACUUAAUUUAAGCACAAGUAAAAUUCAUACACCGAUUUACGUUUCUUACUAUUCGGUGAACCGACUGGCCUUCGUCACCACCCACUAGGGGUGUUUCGCGAAUCGAGUAGUUCGCGAUCGGCUCAAAUACGAGCUCGACUCAAGCUCGUUAAUAUUGAGUUCGAGUCGAGCUCGAACUAAUUAAAUCGAUCUCGAACUCGAGCUCGAGCUCAAAAACAUUAAGUUCGUUGGCUCGCGAGUUCAAUUAUAUAUAUAUUUUUUUAUUUUUUAUUUUAAUAGUAAAAUUACAUAUAUAUCCAUAAUAUUUUAUUAUUUAUUAAAAAUUAUUAUUUUAUUCAUUUUUAAAAAUAAAUAAUUAUAUUUUAUUUUUUUAAAAUAAAAUAAUAAUUAUUUUUUUAUUUUUAAACUCGAGCUCGACUCGAAUUUGACUCGAGCUCGAGCUCGAUAUUUUGAGCACGUCGAGCUCGAGUUUCACAAAAUUAACUCGAGCUCGACUCGAUUAGCCAAAGCUCGACUCGAAUUUGGCUCGUUUGCACCGCUGGCACCCACUUAGUUAUUGCCCACUUCAUUACCAUUCCUCUGUCACCACGUGGCCUUUUCACCAACUUAACUUCCAGCUGGCAGUGAUUUCGUUUUUUCUUUUCCCGCCUGGAUUCCCAUGCCUCACGGCUUACCGGGUUACAUGGGUCCACCUUACUUUCAUUCCGCACAGCCAUAGAAAACGCCAACAUCAAGGCUUCCAAAGCAUGGCUGCUCGUACGUCAUUUCGCAGCUUGGAAUGAUCCGAGGAAGAGGACAUUGUUGUCUUGUUAUUGGGUCACAUCCCAUACACCGAUUGAAAGGAGAAGUCAAAUUCCCCCAUCAGCAAUUAUCAUUUCAGAAGGACAGCAGAUGAUCUUUCAUUUGUGUUACUACAAAUUACACAAGUCUAAAGCCACACUUAAUAGUAUUAAAGUCCGUUUUCAAUCUCCCCGUUCCAAUACUAUAAUUGCAGUUUAGUGAUUUCAAAGUUGAUUUUUUCGGCAAAUUUUGUGUAUUUUGUUCAUUAACUUUUCAAAACUUAAAAGCUUUUUGGCCGAAAUCUCGCAAUUCUAAUCCUUUUCAAAUAUCAAAGGCCUGUUUGUUUGGAUUCUGAAUUUUCUCAUGCCUACUUUUGAAUCUUAAAAUACUGUCGAUGUAGAUAAGUUUUGCUUAACUAUACUCUUGAGAGUAAACAUCUAGAGAAUCAUCCUCAACAAAAAAAUUAAAUUAAACCAAUUUCUAGUUUUAUACGAUAUUAGCACACUUUAUAUUAGUCUUGAAAAGAUGAUGAACAAUGAUAUUUAUUUUCACUUUAAACGCACUCUAAAUUAUCCAAGUAAUGCCAAUAUAAUUGAUUCAAUCCUUUUCCAAGGAAAAUAAGGUUUAUGUAGUGAAGAAAGUCAUGAGAAAAAGAUGAACUUUAACUCCUCUUUACGUGUCACGGUUGUGUAUUAGCAAAUGUCUUUGCUAUUCAUGUGAUCGCUAUAUUUUUUAGGACAAUUUUACAAUCUACACGAACCAAAAUUAGUAAAAGGAUCAAUCUGAUUGCAUUAAAUUGACAGAAAAUCACCAAAUUCGGGAGCGUGUAAUAUUGGACCCAAGUUUUAGAAACGUGAAUUUGUUUAAAAAAUUUUUAUUGUCCAAUCAACUAUUGCGGUUCGACUCGGACACCAGUCCGGUAACUAAUAAGCUUUGAAUUGGACUGUCAAAUGUUUGUUUCCCAUUGUUAAAUUUAGAGUUUCUUUGAAUUGCGAAGCAAAACUUGCUUUCUUAGACGUAUGAAAACUUUUUAUCUCCCUCUCUUUAAAAUUCGACAUUUGUAUGCCUAAUGAUGAGAGAGUGAUUGAGAAAUCAUCAAAUUAUGGAAAGCAAAAUGGAGACACACAUUAUUUAAGUCUGAUCAUGGUAACAACAACAAGGUCUAAUAAAUGAACGCAAAUAUUACUUAUUUCCUCCUGACAUUUUCUUACGAAAAUAAGAAGUUCGGUAAAUAAAUCUAGAUUCCCGAGCAAUCUUAAAAAACCGACAACUUUUGAAGACGCCCAAGGGACUUAUUUAUCCAAAUUCAUCCCCCCAAGACCGAUGUGGGAUUGAAAUCCCGACAAGGGUCAAGCCUCCACAGGCUGUUGCUGCUAAGAAGUAACUACCUCCCACAAACCCGAGCUAGACGAUCCCAGUGGUAUGUUUCUUCCUGGCAUUUUCUUACGAAAGUAAGAAGUUCGGUAAAUAAACUUGGAUUCUCGGACAAUCUUCAAAAGCCGGCAAUUUUUGAAAACGCCAGGGGACUUAUCUACUCAAAUCCAUCCUCCCCAAGACCGAUGUGGGAUUGAAACCCCGACAAGGGCCAAAAAAUGUUUGGAAUAUGCUAGAGUGAUGCCUCGAACCAGUGACCUCUUGUAUUUAAGAAAACGCAACAACCACUACACCAACAGCAAAAUUACUUAUUUAAGUUUGAAUUAUCACAAAAAAAAAAAAGUUUGAUCCACUUGUCCACUUGUAGAUUAUACUCCCUCUGUCCCACUUUGAUAGUCCUGUAUUCAUUUUUCAUCUGUCCCAAAUUGUAGUCCACCUUCCAAUUGAAUAAUGUAGUUAUAUUUUAAUUUUUCUAAAAUACCCUUAUUCAAUGUAAGUAGUUAUUACUAUAAACCUACCCCAUUUAAUGAGAGUUGAUUUUUUUUUACCAUUAAUUCAAGUUCCCAUAAAAUUGUACUAUAUUUAAUGUGAGAGUAUUUUAGAAAAAUAGCAAUCUAAAUUUAAUUUUUCAAUAAAGUUAACUAUUUUUUUUAAACUGUGUGAAAAAAAAACGAGAUUAUCAAAGUGGGACGAACGGAGUAUGAUUUAUGCAAUAGUCAGUCACCGGCGUCAUCACAUGAUCAACCAGAGUAAAAGUAAAAUGUACUAAUGACUUGGCGUUCGGACAAAAACGUCGUGCCCUAUGCUCUCUGCUCUGCUUUUGUCGUCAAAGGGAAUACGAUGCGCUCGCGCUCCGCCAGGACCCGCACGGCAACCCCACACGCCCGCUUGCGCUGCACCUACACCACAGCUCACCCUCUCCAACCCGGCCCACCAAUUACACGAUAUGUGGCCACAGGAGCGAAGGAGACGUGGGGCCUGCAGGUAAUUUCGUCCUUUGUCUCCUGGAUCAUUUCAUUCCUCCUCCAGCCUAUCCGUUCAGUUCCACGUAAAAAUUUUCAUGGAUCGCAGUUCCCAUCAGAAUCUGACACGCAAGGGCGGUUUCUCGAUAAUUGCCGCAACCUCAAUGGUGGUACAUCUUUUCGAGAAUUUUGGAGACUUCUGGGGUAGGACAGUUGGGAGUUCCCACAGGUACACUAAUGUCAACUGUGUGUGUUAUGACUUACGAGCUUUGGGUUUUAGCUUCAUUCAAAUUCUUACUCAGUAGCGUUAAUCCCGACUAGAAUUUCUAUUCGAAAUUUCGGUGUCGAAUAGGAAUAUGACUCUGUUUGGAAGAUAAGUUUUUUGAAAGUUUGUCUAAAAUUUUACUGUAAUUUAUUAUAGAAAUUUUUUAAAAUUUUUUUGAAACGUGUAGAUUUUUAAAUAUUUUGAAGUGUAUAGUUUAAGAAUUUUUUGAAGUUACUGUAGUUAAAGUUUUUAAAAAACUUGUAGCAGAUAAAUUUGACAAAAAACUUGGCUUCCACGAUGGUAUAUAAUUGACAUCAACCAUUAUAGCGUGCGUCAUGCGUUAGGGGCUUGACGGUAAUAAAUGUGUAAAUCCCGGUGCCAAACAUUUUACAACAUCAUAACCUUCACCUUUAUUUAUGAAAAAAAGAGUAAUCAAUUUUAUAUACAUUCGUAUUAUAUAUACUGUCACUCGCUGUUAAUUGAAGAAAUUGGUCUUCUAAGACUUUAUGAGAUUAGUUUAAUAUCAAAAGUUUCGUGGCAUAGUAAAUUAUGAUGAAUUUCAUGUUGGCCUUUUAAAAUCAGUACCUAAGCAUACAGAUGUGAAUACGAUUUAUUUUAUUUCUUAUAAUUAGAUGCCAUAUGAAACAAAUUGAUUGCAACGAGUCACAUAUUAGGGUUUACUAAGAUGUCACAUUCAAACCCUUUAAAUAUGUGCUAUUUUUCCUUCCAUGAAUUUAAUCACUAUUCUAUGCCAAAAAAAAAACAAAAAAGGUGGGAAACACCGACAUUUUCAACCACUAUAAUUAACAAUUUCCCCAUUUUGUUUGAAAAUGAAAAAAAAAAAUCUCCUUUUUAGUUGCUGUGUACUUGAUAAAAAACAAAACAUAGCAUCAAAGACAGACAUGAAAUCAGGGAAAAAUAUACUGGACAGCCUUCUUCCCUGGUGUGAAAACGAAUUCCAAAAUGUCUUAGAUACGAGUGACAUAAAGGUUUUAGGAAGAUUUAGCAGAAGGAAUCAAUGCUCAAUCCUAAAACAUGAUGAUGUUUUAUUCUUUAUUAUCCGUUUCUCCAUAAACACGGUGGACCCAAAACCCAUAAAACGAGAAACUGAAAACCAAAAAACAGGAAUCUGAGACAGAUGUCUUAACCCACUAGUCAAGUCAGUAUGAGCAGCUUCUGAAAUUAUCCGAUUUUGCGCAUUAGAAAAAUAGAAGAGAAUUGUUUGGAUAGGAAAAAUUUUUUCAAUAAUAUUUCUUGAAUCAUAAAUUCAUUUUCUAAUUUACUACGUUUUUAUUUCACGCGCUUAUAUUACAUCAUAAAAAAUAUUAUAUAAUUAUUUAAAUAAUAUUAUCCAAACAGAUCCGAAAGAAAGCGGUAGGAUCCAUCCGUCAGUUCAAUGCCCAACCUAGACUCCGUGGUGGGAUGAGUUUUGUAGCCAAUUGCAGCUGCAAGUAAUCUCACCGCUCACCACUGGAUAAGAUUAUAUUUUUGUCUUUCUGUUGCAUUUCCAACUUACAGGCAAUGAUUGGCGAUCUAAAUUGUCCGGUAACGAGAAGAUGCAAUCGAAAUAUUAUUUAAAAUAUUAUUGGGAAGCUGAAUCUAAAUUUUAAUUUUGCGAUUUGGAUGAAAAAUUGUCACUUGGAAUAUACACAUUGUGUAGUGCCCUGAACCGCGCAGUGCUUUCCUUUGAGAGAGUAAAACAAAGAUAUCAUUUUGAUUCAAAUUAUAGAUCACCGGUAAAAGAGGAAAAUCAUUCCAACAGACAGUUCUACAUUCCAAAUCAAGAGAAAUGUUUAGGUAAGAUAUGAAUGGUGGCCAAUUUCCAGUUCAACAAACAUGUAAUUGUAAUUCUCUGAUCAGCGCAAUGCCGAGGAUCUUUGAACCAUACGAAGAUGAUUAAAAAAAAAAAAAACAGAAACAAAUUUUUUUUUUUCUUUUGAGACUAACAAAAAAAUUAUCUUGAAUGACCGUUACAGCCUUGUCAAGCGACAAUCCUCAAAAGCUCACGGGCCCAAAGAUUUAUAUAUUUGUGUCCUAGCACACUACAAAUAAUAAUAAUGCAGAAAAGAAAUAGCAAGAGAAAUGAUAAAAAAGGGAAAUAUAUAGACCAGGUGAAAGAGAUGACUAUCUGUUAACCGUCUUAUUCUUCGCUUCCUUUCUUCAUCCCUGUUCCUCGAACAUAAAAGGAAAAAGGGGUUGAGAAGAAGCAAACCCAUGUAUAUAUAGAGCUCCCCGCUGUCCCUGUAUCCCACUCCAUCGCCGUGUUUUUAUGUGUGUUAUUCUCCUGUAAUUAGAGAAAAGCGACCCUUAUUCAACAGCGAAGGGUUUUUCCUUUUUGGAAAAACAAAAAAAGAAGAAGAACAAAAGGAGAGACCAAAAAUGCCUCCCCGGGACGAAGAGGAACAGAGAUUACUGGUGAACCCACUUCUGGAUUCUUCCGAUGAAGAAAGAGCCUAUGAUUCUACAGAAAAAGUUCACAUAAUAGGAGCGGACGAACCUAAUGAAGGAGGAGGAGAUAACAGCGACGUUUGCUCACCAAGGCGCCGCCAUUCUCUUGGAAGAAGCUCUGGCUUUUCACUGGGCCGGGUUUUCUGAUGAGCAUAGCUUUUCUUGAUCCGGGUAACUUGGAAGGGGACCUUCAGGCGGUGCCAUUGCUGGGUAUUCUUUGCUAUGGCUGCUGUUUUGGGCCACGGCUAUGGGGCUUUUAGUCCAGCUCUUGUCGGCUAGGCUCGGCGUGGCUACUGGAGACACUUGGCUGAGCUCUGUAGGGUGGAGUAUCCCACGUGGGCUAGGAUGCUUUUAUGGGUCAUGGCUGAAGUGGCUUUGAUUGGGGCUGAUAUUCAGGAGGUUAUUGGCAGCGCCAUCGCUAUUAAGAUUUUGAGUAAUGGGUUGUUGCUUUGGGCUGGUGUCGUCAUCACUGCUCUGGAUUGGUAAAAUGCUUUCUUUCCCCCUCUGCUCUGGGUGAUUUAUUUCGUUUUUAUGCUUGUGUUUAGUGGUUGUCUGUUCUAAAGUUUUAAGCUUUAGACUUUGAAUGUGAAAGACUGAUGCCUUUUUUGUGACUCUUGUGAUAUGCUGAUGAUGAAUGGUUUUUAAGAAUAUGAUGGAUCGUUUGUUUAUUGAGAAUUUUAUGUAACCAAGUAAUUAGCUUCUGGGGUGUUGCUAUGUGAAGUAACCAUUUGAUUUUACUAGAUUUUGGAACACUCGUAUUUGUUAGGGCUUUUCACUCUUUUUUGUUACUCUCUGUGAUUGUGAAGAUGUUUCCCAAGAUUUGACUUGCUGACUUAUAUUCCACCAUGAUGUCGUGAUGCAGUUUUAUAUUUCUAUUUCUCGAAAAUUAUGGGGUCAGGAAGCUCGAAGCACUUUUUGCAAUUCUCAUAGCAACCAUGGCGCUCUCGUUUGCAUGGAUGUUUGGUGAAACAAAACCAAAUGGUGUUGAACUUCUUCUUGGUGAGACACUAAAUUAUUAUUAUUAUUAUUUUAUCGAUAUGUGGUACCUUGUUCAAUUGUGUAUUUUCAAGCUUGCCUAUAUCUGACAUUGUCCAUUGGGAUGUUAGGUGUUUUGGUUCCAAAACUGAGCUCCAAAACAAUAAAGGAGGGAGUGGGAGUUGUGGGUUGCAUUAUCAUGCCUCACAAUGUAUUUCUACAUUCUGCUCUUGUACAGUCAAGAGAGAUCGACGCCCGCAAGAUAGGCAGGGUCCGAGAAGCAAUCAACUACUACUCCAUAGAAUCCGCAGCUGCCCUUCUAAUUUCUUUCAUCAUCAAUCUGUUUGUUACAACGGUUUUUGCGAAGGCAUUUUAUGGUACUGAACUAGCCAAUGACAUUGGCCUCGUGAAUGCAGGCCAGUAUCUUGAGGAGAAGUACGGUGGAGGAUUGCUUCCAAUUAUAUACAUCUGGGCUAUUGGAUUAUUAGCUGCUGGUCAGAGUAGCACCAUCACUGGCACUUAUGCUGGUCAGUUUAUUAUGGGAGGUUUCUUGAACUUACGGUUAAAAAAGUGGCUGAGAGCACUGAUCACUAGGAGUUGUGCCAUAAUUCCUACCCUGGCUGUUGCUCUUAUUUUUGAAACCUCUGAAGGAUCAUUGGAUACUAUGAAUGAGUGGCUGAACAUACUUCAGUCAAUUCAGAUACCCUUUGCCCUUAUUCCUCUACUUUGUCUGGUCUCCAAGGAGGACAUAAUGGGUGUAUUCAGAAUUGGCCCCAUUCUGAAGGUAUGUUCCCUUCUUAAAAAGAUAUGACAAUUUUGCAUUUAAUUGUGCAUUUUCAUCAUUCAUUAUAGCCUACAUUGCCAGCUAACUUUAUAAAAUUAGAUUCCUUGAUGUUGGUAAAGAGAACUAUCAUUGCAAUUUUAUAGUUCUACAGGGAUUAGUUUCUUGAUCAGCUUGCUUAAAUGUUAUUUUGCAUUGUGCUGCAAUGUUGAUGACAUUCUGAUUUUAGUUGUAUUAAAUUCUCAUUAGAUAUGCAGUAAUUGGAAUUUUUCCUCCUCGUUCUUGUUUGAAUUGGUUUGCUAUGAUAUAAGUCAUGUGUAACUUCUGUGGUCAUUUGCUAGAGGCUUAUGAACAAGUUCUGUGUGUAUUUAUCCAAAUUCUUGGAGUUCUUAGGUUGACUCCUGCUGUUGUGUGACACUUUGGAGUACUUUAGCUGUAGAGGAAUGAAAAUUGUAGCUCCUCGCAUUAGUCUUGCAUUCACCUCAACAUUGUCUUUGGCAUGACAAAGUAAUUUGAGUGUUCUGUCCAUCCCAUAAUCUGGCUUUAUUAGGAGCACGUGGUAUUAUAUCUAGUACUUUCUAAAAGCUUAAAACGUAUAUGCCCUCUACAUCAUGGGUAGAAACUUUAAAUCUGAAUCCAGGACAUAAUAUAACUUUCUAGUUUUGAUUUUGUCAUUCUCCACUCCCUAUUUAGUCCUUGUAACACCGUCUGAUUUGUAAUUUGACUUAUAGUUGAAGAAACUGUAAUUUGACCAAAAAACAAUUCAAUUUUUUUCUGUACUAAUUUUUUAGCUUUGGCAUGUUUGCCAGGAAAUAGGUUUGAUUGUACAGAUACUAUUUGUCUUUGACCAAUUACCUGUCUUUGUGUGGAUUCUUCUCAUGAGGACCUAAUGUUCUUGUUACUAGAAUUAGUUUUUUUUACCAAUCACGAAGUGCACAAAUCUUGCACUUUUCUGUUCAAAAAUUCCACAUUGCUGCCACAAAGUUUCGAGAACUUUUAUAAUUAAUGUUCUUGCCCAUGAUCAAGCAAAGGCUCAAGUAUGUGAUGAUGGCUCCAGGUCUUGUGCUUGUUUUUACCUUCUUUAUUCUGUCACCUCUACAAUCUGCACGUUUUGAUAUUUUUCUCUUGUUUUUGGUUCGUUACUUCUGGUUUGUUAGUUAUUCCAAUGUUACGUGGUCAUGCUAGGUGCCAUAACAUUUCCACAGUGUGGUAUAUUUCUGGAGCCUUUGUCAUUUUAUACAUUUAAUGGUCAAACACAACUAAGAGACCAAUACCUGAUAGUUGGAUCUGGCAUCAUCAGAAUCAACAUAUAGAGACACAACUUAUACACAGAUCUUUUGAAUUUCUUGGGUUUCUUCUUGCAGAUAAUUUCAUGGCUAGUUGCUGCUUGAUCAUAUUGAUAAACGGAUAUCUCUUAGUGGAUUUCUUCUCAUCUGAAGUCAGUGGAGUGAUACUUACAUCAGUCGUAUUUGUUUUUACGGCUGCAUAUGUGGCUUUUAUAGCAUACCUCGUAUCACGAGGCAUUACCUUUUCUAAUUUUCCAUUAAAAUUCAAGAGGCUCACAAACUCAGGAAAUUAAUCGAUGGUUCUGUCAAUGACUUGCCAAGUGCGCAGCACUCAGGACUUUCCAUCUCUGGUAUUGCCAACUGUUUCUCUGCCAGAAAGAUCCCUUGUGCAUAUAAAUGUUUUCCAUCUCUGGAACGCGCAAUAGGUGUCUACAAAGAUUGUGACAAUCACUUACCUGAAUCGCUUGUGCGAAAUUUGUACUAGUUCCUGUGCAAUUUUGCAAUUCUCAUCCCUCUAUGCAUUGGAGAUGGGAAAAGCAAGGCCCAAUAUAGAUCUGAGGUGAAGUAUUGUAUGUAGUAGUAGAUUCC
This 16339-nucleotide long non-coding RNA is filed under the name Coffea arabica (coffee). RNAcentral describes it as "long non-coding RNA (CARA_LNC004861)". The record is from RNAcentral. Lineage: Eukaryota; Viridiplantae; Streptophyta; Magnoliopsida; Gentianales; Rubiaceae.